Molecule: ribosomal RNA, 1692 nt
Filed under: Salmonella enterica
Lineage: Bacteria; Pseudomonadati; Pseudomonadota; Gammaproteobacteria; Enterobacterales; Enterobacteriaceae
Description: partial 23S ribosomal RNA
Rfam family: Bacterial large subunit ribosomal RNA
Source: RNAcentral
AAAGCGUAAUAGCUCACUGGUCGAGUCGGCCUGCGCGGAAGAUGUAACGGGGCUAAACCAUGCACCGAAGCUGCGGCAGCGACGCUGAUGCGUUGUUGGGUAGGGGAGCGUUCUGUAAGCCUGCGAAGGUGGCCUGUGAGGGUUGCUGGAGGUAUCAGAAGUGCGAAUGCUGACAUAAGUAACGAUAAAGCGGGUGAAAAGCCCGCUCGCCGGAAGACCAAGGGUUCCUGUCCAACGUUAAUCGGGGCAGGGUGAGUCGACCCCUAAGGCGAGGCCGAAAGGCGUAGUCGAUGGGAAACGGGUUAAUAUUCCCGUACUUGGUGUUACUGCGAAGGGGGGACGGAGAAGGCUAUGUUGGCCGGGCGACGGUUGUCCCGGUUUAAGCGUGUAGGUGUGUGUUCCAGGUAAAUCCGGUUCACUUUAACACUGAGGCGUGACGACGAGGCACUACGGUGCUGAAGCAACAAAUGCCCUGCUUCCAGGAAAAGCCUCUAAGCAUCAGGUAACAUCAAAUCGUACCCCAAACCGACACAGGUGGUCAGGUAGAGAAUACCAAGGCGCUUGAGAGAACUCGGGUGAAGGAACUAGGCAAAAUGGUGCCGUAACUUCGGGAGAAGGCACGCUGACACGUAGGUGAAGUGAUUUACUCAUGGAGCUGAAGUCAGUCGAAGAUACCAGCUGGCUGCAACUGUUUAUUAAAAACACAGCACUGUGCAAACACGAAAGUGGACGUAUACGGUGUGACGCCUGCCCGGUGCCGGAAGGUUAAUUGAUGGGGUCAGCGCAAGCGAAGCUCCUGAUCGAAGCCCCGGUAAACGGCGGCCGUAACUAUAACGGUCCUAAGGUAGCGAAAUUCCUUGUCGGGUAAGUUCCGACCUGCACGAAUGGCGUAAUGAUGGCCAGGCUGUCUCCACCCGAGACUCAGUGAAAUUGAACUCGCUGUGAAGAUGCAGUGUACCCGCGGCAAGACGGAAAGACCCCGUGAACCUUUACUAUAGCUUGACACUGAACAUUGAGCCUUGAUGUGUAGGAUAGGUGGGAGGCUUUGAAGUGUGGACGCCAGUCUGCAUGGAGCCGACCUUGAAAUACCACCCUUUAAUGUUUGAUGUUCUAACGUGGACCCGUGAUCCGGGUUGCGGACAGUGUCUGGUGGGUAGUUUGACUGGGGCGGUCUCCUCCUAAAGAGUAACGGAGGAGCACGAAGGUUGGCUAAUCCUGGUCGGACAUCAGGAGGUUAGUGCAAUGGCAUAAGCCAGCUUGACUGCGAGCGUGACGGCGCGAGCAGGUGCGAAAGCAGGUCAUAGUGAUCCGGUGGUUCUGAAUGGAAGGGCCAUCGCUCAACGGAUAAAAGGUACUCCGGGGAUAACAGGCUGAUACCGCCCAAGAGUUCAUAUCGACGGCGGUGUUUGGCACCUCGAUGUCGGCUCAUCACAUCCUGGGGCUGAAGUAGGUCCCAAGGGUAUGGCUGUUCGCCAUUUAAAGUGGUACGCGAGCUGGGUUUAGAACGUCGUGAGACAGUUCGGUCCCUAUCUGCCGUGGGCGCUGGAGAACUGAGGGGGGCUGCUCCUAGUACGAGAGGACCGGAGUGGACGCAUCACUGGUGUUCGGGUUGUCAUGCCAAUGGCACUGCCCGGUAGCUAAAUGCGGAAGAGAUAAGUGCUGAAAGCAUCUAAGCACGAAACUUGCCCCGAG